CAGCUCCGGCCAAAGCUGGACCCAGCCUUGGAGGCCUUUUCCAACCUCCAUCAUUCCAUGAUUCCCUCCUCAUUUCUUCCAGCCUCUCCCUGCCACUCCUCUCCUGAAAUCCAAAGGGACACCACGGAAUGCUGAGAUUCCUCACACCCAUCAGAGCAUUUCCUGCAGGAAUCAUUGACCCCAUCCAGCACCCGACCUGCGAGGAGCCGCGGCCUGAUUCCUGCGGGACAAGCUGGGUUCAACACCAGUUAUUGCACAUUUCGGUCGGGGCCUGGGAAGAAGCAGAGCCCUCGAGGUCUGAGGCCUGCAGGUGGCAGAGGGCAGGGGAGGCCAUGGGGAAAGCUCAGCCCCAGCCUGGUACAUGCAAAUCGCUGAUUAAAGGAAGUGUUAAGAGAGCAUUCAAUGGGAGAUGAAUAUUGUGGCAUCGUUAGGAAGAAAUUCAGCCUGAGGAGGGGCACAGGGCUUGCUGUGAGAGGAAGAGAAGAAAAUUCCUUUCUUCCCUCUUAUUUUUAAUACAUUUGUCACCUCAAACCCCAUGAGAGCCAUUGUCGACGGCAAUCCAAAAUCAAAACCGGACUUUUUGUCUUAAAAGCCAUUCUCUCAUUAAAACAGGAAUUAAUUCAGAGAAGUUUAUGGCUGGGCUCCAGCUGAAGCUCCUUCUGGCUCCAUUAUUGACUGAUCUGCUGCAUGUGGAGCCGCAGGACUGAGGGGUUGAACUCCGUGCAAUAAAUAUUGAAGGCUAUUUAAAUGGAAAAGGGAA
RNAcentral lists this long non-coding RNA (760 nucleotides) under Cyanistes caeruleus (blue tit). RNAcentral's name for it is "lncRNA (ENSCCEG00000022309.1)". Lineage: Eukaryota; Metazoa; Chordata; Aves; Passeriformes; Paridae. The record is from RNAcentral.